Molecule: ribosomal RNA, 301 nt
Filed under: uncultured bacterium
Lineage: Bacteria
Description: partial 16S ribosomal RNA
Rfam family: Bacterial small subunit ribosomal RNA
Source: RNAcentral
CAGCCGCCGCGGGAAAACGUAGGUGGCAAGCGUUGUCCGGAAUUAUUGGGCGUAAAGGGCUCGCAGGCGGUUUCUUAAGUCUGAUGCGAAAGCCCCCGGCUCAAUCGGGGAGGGUCAUUGGAAACUGGGAAACUUGAGUGCAGAAGAGGAGAGUGGGAUUCCACGUGUAGCGGUGAAAUGCGUAGAGAUGUGGAGGAACACCAGUGGCGAAGGCGACUCUCUGGUCUGUAACUGACGCUGAGGAGCGAAAGCGUGGGGAGCGAACAGGAUUAGAGACCCCAGUAGUCCCUGUCUCUUAUAC